This is a long non-coding RNA of Gallus gallus (chicken), 2037 nucleotides long. RefSeq lists it as uncharacterized. Lineage: Eukaryota; Metazoa; Chordata; Aves; Galliformes; Phasianidae. The record is from RefSeq and is a predicted model, not a curated record. The transcript has 3 exons.
GAUUAGAGGCAGAGAGAAAAUAUCACCCUGAGUGGAGGCUGAGAUUCAAGAAGAGGCAGAACAGCAUUUUAACAUGCCCAGUCACUUUUUGAGAGAGAAUACCUGUAAAGGAAUGAGGCACAGUUGGAAAGACCGCAGUUCAGAUGACGGACUGAAGAGAGCUGGGAAAAAUCUCAGCAGAUGGCUAAAAGAAGAUUGUAAUCAUAGCUUGCCAGCCUGAUUCAGACAGAGUUGCAAAACAACAGUCCCAAACGCAGACUGUUGCUCUUUCUGAUUAUCUCACCACAAAGAAAUUGGAGAGAUCUGUUUCUUCUGCCUUCUGAUGCCACUUGAACUUUCCAAGAUCUAUCUUAAUUUUGGAGCUUUAUAAAGACACUGAGUCUGAGCCUUACAAGCUUUUUGAGUAAAUCACUGAUAAAUCUCUCAACUUCUUUGUUUCUUUGGGGAUCUAGUUUUUCUUCUAAAACUGGUAUCAGGCUAAUAAUUGCAUGUUAUCUAAAGAAUCUAGUCCAAUGUGAUAUACGUGCCAUUCCAACAGUAAUCUAACAGGCAGCACAUUUCAAGUGGACAUUGCAAAAGUCUAUUCCACAAGAGGAAACAAAUUCUUUUUGCUAUGACCACAAAGCUUAAACCUUAUGAAUGCAGCUCCAAAUAGAAGACAAGCUGAAUAGAAACGACUGGGGAAGAGCAAUACAUAUGGUUGAUUUAAAGUCUUUUUAAAAGGUAUCUGCAAGAAGGUGUGCAAUGAAAAUAUGAUCAAAAUGCCAUGUAUUCUGAAAACAUUCGGUGCCAAAUGCAACUUAGACAGUACUGAAAAUGGAGAUUCAGUAGGAAGACUUGAGCAUCAUGCAGGCAUCAUACAAAAAAAAAGUGGAAAAAAAAAAAUUGUAGUCUAGAAAGAAGGAAUACAAAAGAUCUUUUCUUCCACUUUACCAGAGCAUGAAGUGCUGUCCCUAGAACACCAAUGAAUGGACAACGUGGCAUCCACAGAACUCAGGGAGUAAAGUUCUGUAAUGCAGUAUGAAAUCAUCUGGUUUUAUCCCGUUUACUCAAACCAGGUAAAAAUGAAAUUUAAUAAUAAAAUAAAAUAAAACAAAAUAAAACAAAACAAAAUACAAAUAAAAUACAGAUUGUAAAGAUUCAAAUAAUAUUUUCUGCUGCCAGUUGAGGUACUUGGUCUCUACCGUUGCACCUGAAGCCAAAUGUAGUUGAUUUUGGUUUAAUUUGCUCUGCAGGCAGGAGUACUUGAUUUUAUAUCUUCCUACCUGUGUCAUACCAGUUUAAGAGCACUCCGCUCUCAGUCUCAGACAGGAAUCUUUUCUUCCUAACAUUUUUCAUCACUGCGUAAGUAUUUUAGUAUCUAAAGCAAUAUCUUAACCUGUGCAAUAACAGAGCAGAAUCUACAAAAUUUUGAAUACUUUAGUUGGUAAGAACAUUAGCUGCAAAGCGAGUACUUUGGCACUUGGAUUAAGAGAUGCACUUUGGAAGACUGCUAAAUUUGCUCGGAACAGUCAUUCUGAGUGAAAAUAAGUGCCUUGAGCAGGAAGAAUUGGGUCUGAUCCUAAAAGUGCUGACAUUUUACUAUAACAUGCAGCCAGCCUGUGGGGUUGUGGUUUGUCAGUUAACUGUCACCUAGUGCUUUCUUUAAUGCACAUAUUUCUGGAGGGCUUGAGGAUUUGUCUUCUGUUUUCCUUCAUAGAUGUCUUUGAUUGCUAGGACUACGUACAGUGUCCCAGAAGAACACCCAAAAAUGAGAAAGGAGAAAAACAUGGUGUAACUUUAAUGUUAACAACUAACAUUUUCUUUGGCCUGUUAAUAAUUUUCUUCUGGAUUGUAUAGCCCUCAAGCUCAUGUGAUGUCUAAGAAUGUCACAGAUGUCAAUACAUAGUGAGUAACAUAAAAUUAAACAGUUAGAGUAUCAUUUCACCAUAAGUAUCUACAGUAGCUGUAUUAUUGGAAGAUUUCACUGUGGUAUAAAAUAGUGAUCUUUAUAAAAACACUAUUAAAAGGAAGCACUUUUAAAUAAAUCUUGUGAAA